This 362-nucleotide long non-coding RNA is filed under the name Homo sapiens (human). RNAcentral's name for it is "non-protein coding lnc-FAM3A-2:1". The record is from RNAcentral. Lineage: Eukaryota; Metazoa; Chordata; Mammalia; Primates; Hominidae.
CGCACGCCUCGCCUGAGGCGGGUCCGCUCAGCCCAGGCGCCCGCCCCCGCCCCCGCCGAUUAAAUGGGCCGGCGGGGCUCAGCCCCCGGAAACGGUCGUACACUUCGGGGCUGCGAGCGCGGAGGGCGACGACGACGAAGCGCAACAGCGUCAUGGCAGAGCAGGUGGCCCUGAGCCGGACCCAGGUGUGCGGGAUCCUGCGGGAAGAGCUUUUCCAGGGCGAUGCCUUCCAUCAGUCGGAUACACACAUAUUCAUCAUCAUGGGUGCAUCGGUGACCUGGCCAAGAAGAAGAUCUACCCCACCAUCUGUGGCUGUUCCGGGAUGGCCUUCUGCCCGAAAACACCUUCAUCGUGGGCUAUGC